RNAcentral lists this ribosomal RNA (460 nucleotides) under uncultured bacterium. RNAcentral describes it as "partial 16S ribosomal RNA". It matches the Rfam family "Bacterial small subunit ribosomal RNA", at positions 338 to 795 of the family's 1533-position model. The record is from RNAcentral.
CCUACGGGCGGCAGCAGUGAGGAAUAUUGGUCAAUGGGCGCGAGCCUGAACCAGCCAAGUAGCGUGAAGGAUGACUGCCCUACGGGUUGUAAACUUCUUUUAUAAAGGAAUAAAGGGCGGUACGUGUGCCUUUUUGCAUGUACUUUAUGAAUAAGGAUCGGCUAACUCCGUGCCAGCAGCCGCGGUAAUCCGGAGGAUCCGAGCGUUAUCCGGAUUUAUUGGGUUUAAAGGGAGAGUAGAUGGUUUGUUAAGUCAGUUGUGACAGUUUGCGGCGCAACCGUAAAAUUGCAUUUGAUACUGGCAGUCUUGAGUACAGUAGAGGUAGGCGGAAUUCGUGGUGUAGCGGUGAAAUGCUUAGAUAUCACGAAGAACUCCGAUUGCGAAGGCAGCUUACUAAACUGCCACUGACAUUGAUGCUCGAAAGUGUGGGUAUCAAACAGGAUUAGAUACCCUGGUAGUC